Molecule: small nuclear RNA, 144 nt
Organism: Wyeomyia smithii (pitcher-plant mosquito)
Lineage: Eukaryota; Metazoa; Arthropoda; Insecta; Diptera; Culicidae
Product: U4 spliceosomal RNA
Exons: 1
Source: RefSeq, a predicted model, not a curated record
AGCUUUGCGCAGUGGCGAUAUCGUAACCAAUGAGGUACAACCGAGGUGCGAUUAUUGCUAGUUGAAAACUAAUACUAAAAUGUCAUGCUGAUAUGUAUAACUUGUUUGUAUUUAGCUUCAAACGCAGGACAGUUGACUUACUGC